GACGAACCACACGAACGUUAUUCGGAAUCACUGGGCUUAAAGGGUGCGUAGGCGGCGCGGAAAGUAGGGUGUGAAAUCCCUCGGCUCAACCGAGGAAUAGCGCCCUAAACUACCGUGCUCGAGGGAGAUAGAGGUGAGCGGAACUUAGGGUGGAGCGGUGAAAUGCGUUGAUAUCCUAAGGAACACCGGUGGCGAAAGCGGCUCACUGGAUCUCUUCUGACGCUGAGGCACGAAAGCGUGGGGAGCGAACAGG
This 253-nucleotide ribosomal RNA is filed under the name uncultured bacterium. RNAcentral's name for it is "partial 16S ribosomal RNA". It matches the Rfam family "Bacterial small subunit ribosomal RNA", at positions 524 to 776 of the family's 1533-position model. The record is from RNAcentral.